CCUACGGGAGGCAGCAGGGAGGAAUAUUGGGCAAUGGACGAGAGUCGGAACCAGCCAAGGAGCGGGAAGGAUGACGGCCCUAUGGGUGGUAAACUUCUUUUAUAUGGGAAUAAAAUGUUCCACGUGUGGGAUUUUGUAUGUACCUUAUGAAUAAGGAUCGGCUAACUCCGUGCCAGCAGCCGCGGUAAUACGGAGGAUCCGAGCGUUAUCCGGAUUUAUUGGGUUUAAAGGGAGCGUAGGUGGAUGGUUAAGUCAGUUGUGAAAGUUUGCGGCUCAACCGUAAAAUUGCAGUUGAUACUGGCAGUCUUGAGUGCAGUAGAGGUGGGCGGAAUUCGUGGUGUAGCGGUGAAAUGCUUAGAUAUCACGAAGAACUCCGAUUGCGAAGGCAGCUCACUGGACUGCAACUGACACUGAGGCUCGAAAGUGUGGGUAUCAAACAGGAUUAGAUACCCCAGUAGUC
This 460-nucleotide ribosomal RNA is filed under the name uncultured bacterium. RNAcentral describes it as "partial 16S ribosomal RNA". It matches the Rfam family "Bacterial small subunit ribosomal RNA", at positions 338 to 795 of the family's 1533-position model. The record is from RNAcentral.